This 79-nucleotide transfer RNA is filed under the name Fasciola hepatica (liver fluke). Its description in RNAcentral is "tRNA-Thr". The record is from RNAcentral. Lineage: Eukaryota; Metazoa; Platyhelminthes; Trematoda; Plagiorchiida; Fasciolidae.
GGCUUCGUAGAUGAGCUGGUACAGCACACGUACGGUAUUAGAACGUGUGCGUGUGUGGGUUCAAAUCUCACCGAGAUUA